Molecule: ribosomal RNA, 545 nt
Filed under: uncultured Ascomycota
Lineage: Eukaryota; Fungi; Ascomycota
Description: SSU rRNA
Rfam family: Eukaryotic small subunit ribosomal RNA
Source: RNAcentral
UUGGAGGGCAAGUCUGGUGCCAGCAGCCGCGGUAAUUCCAGCUCCAAUAGCGUAUAUUAAAGUUGUUGCCGUUAAAAAGCUUGUAGUUGAACCUUGGACCUGGCUGAUCUGUCCUCCUAAUCGAGCGUACGGAUUCGGUCGGGUCUUUCCUUCUGGGGAACCCUAUGUCCUUUAUUGGGUGUAGUGGGGAACCAGGACUUUUACCUUGAAAAAAUUAGAGUGUUCAAAGCAGGCCUUUGCUCGAAUACAUUAGCAUGGAAUAAUAGAAUAGGACAUCGGUUCUAUUUUGUUGGUUUCUAGGACCGCUGUAAUGAUUAAUAGGGAUAGUCGGGGGCGUCCGUAUUCAAUUGUCAGAGGUGAAAUUCUUGGAUUUAUUGAAGACGAACUACUGCGAAAGCAUUCGCCAAGGAUGUUUUCAUUAAUCAGUGAACGAAAGUUAGGGGAUCGAAGACGAUCAGAUACCGUCGUAGUCUUAACCAUAAACUAUGCCGACUAGGGGUCGGACGGUGGUUUUUUUAUGCCCCGUUCGGCGCCUUACGGGAAAC